This 410-nucleotide ribosomal RNA is filed under the name uncultured prokaryote. RNAcentral describes it as "partial 16S ribosomal RNA". The record is from RNAcentral.
CCCUAUGGGGUGCAGCAGGACGACAGGAGGAGCGACGAUGAGACGAUGGCGACUUGGCUUGGUCCUGCCCGUGCUGAUGUUGGGCGCGGGGGUCGCGUGGGCACAGACCACCGGAUCGAUCGUGGCGUGGGGUGCUGGAACUACCGAUACCGGGCAGUUCCCGGAGUACGGCCAGUGCCUUGUUCCGGCGCCCAACAGCGGUUUCGUCGCCGCCGCCGGGGGCUGGUUUCACAGUCUUGGCCUGAAGUCCGACGGGUCGAUCGUGGCGUGGGGAAGCAACUACGACUUCUACGGCAACUACACUGGUCAAUGCGAUGUUCCGUCGCCGAACACGGGCUUCAUGGCGGUCGCGCCGGGUGGGAUUCACAGUCUCGGCCUGAAAACGAACGGCUCAAUCGUGGCGGGAGAGC